This is a long non-coding RNA of Chiloscyllium plagiosum (whitespotted bambooshark), 1133 nucleotides long. RefSeq lists it as uncharacterized. Lineage: Eukaryota; Metazoa; Chordata; Chondrichthyes; Orectolobiformes; Hemiscylliidae. The record is from RefSeq and is a predicted model, not a curated record.
GGACGGGUCAGGUGCUCCAGUGUCAACUCAUCUUCGAAGUGCUUGGAGAAACGCACGAUGUCCUGCGUGCUUGGACUUUCUCCUGAGCGACGGACCUUGAAAAUUUGGACAGAUGGCAGCAUCCCUGGAAACAAUUUCAGAACAACUGGCAGCAGAAAUUCCAGAAAUGGCACAAUCAGAAAGAUCAUGAAUGGAAGUAGGCGGAAGAGGUCAACACAUGUUCGUAUAAGCUGGAAGAAUUUACACAAGACAAAAUGCAUGAGUAUUACUGCAAGGGCAGGACUUGCUAUUCUCUCACCUGAUAUGUGCACAAUGACCAUGCUGGUGCAGUCUUCAAGGGAAGAUACUCAGUACUUCAGAACAGGAGAGGAAGGAAAAGGAUACUUAGAAAACCCGAAUUUUACCACAAAUAAACAGGUAUCGAGUACAUUGGAUCUGUCAGGCAGGACCAGGGUCUGUGGUACCUCCUGCUCAAUCGCCUCUAAAUCCCAAUGAACCAACUGUGGAAAAUCUCUUUGGUCCAAUCACAUACUGGUGUUUCACCCAUGAUUUUCCUACAUAAGUGCAAACAGUUAGCUGACAAUUCCAUGGUGUCCAGCUCCAUUCACAAUUCUGCUAAUAAUGAGGUAACCAAUGCCAACUUGCAACAAGACUGACAUUCAGGAAUUAAUGUUCAUGCCAUCUUACAGCCAGGGAAUGACCGCACUGAGUAAGAAAUCCAAACAAUUAUUGACAAGUCUGCUAGAAUUCACAUUUUAGGGGAAAUGGUGGUAAAGUAGUAAUGUCAUGGGACUAAUAAUCAAGAAUUUCAGAUUAAUGUUCUGGAACAUAAGUUUGAAUCCAAUUGUCAAAUGUGAAUUCUAUUGCAUGCCUUAAAGGCAACUGUGUAACAACUUCAGAUUGUCAUAAAAACCCUUAUAGUUUAUGAAUGUCUCUAAGGGAAGGAAAACUGUCACCCUCACCUAAUCUAACCUACACAUCACUCCAGACAAGGGAUUAUCAAUCUUAUUUUAGAGUAUAAAUCUAGGCAAUCUCCUGGAUCUGAUAUUGAUCAUUUAUCUCAUUAGAAUCCAACUGAUUCACAAGGUUUCCAAGCUAACAUUUUCUCUUUUUUUCAUAAAAACAAGGAUUCA